GGGCAGGCUCUCAUGGCAAAUCGAAGGAAGCGCUACCGACGGAACUUUUCGGAGGGAAGAUGGUAAUGACUGAGUGCCCUUAAAGGUGAGUAACGCGUGGGUAACCUGCCUCACAGAGCCUUACAACAGCCGGAAACGGCUGCUAAUACCGCAUAACAAGGGAUUGCCGCAUGACAAUCCUUUCAAAGAUUUAUCGCUGUGAGAUGGACCCGCGUCUGAUUAGCUUGUUGGUGGGGUAACGGCCUACCAAGGCGACGAUCAGUAGCCGGCUUGAGAGAGUGAACGGCCACAUUGGGACUGAGACACGGCCCAGACUCCUACGGGAGGCAGCAGUGGGGAAUAUUGCACAAUGGGGGAAACCCUGAUGCAGCGACGCCGCGUGAGUGAAGAAGUAUUUCGGUAUGUAAAGCUCCAUCAGCAGGGAAGAUAAUGACGGUACCUGACUAAGAAGCCCCGGCUAACUACGUGCCAGCAGCCGCGGUAAUACGUAGGGGGCAAGCGUUAUCCGGAUUUACUGGGUGUAAAGGGAGCGUAGGUGGCAGGGCAAGUCAGAUGUGAAAACCCGGGGCUCAACCCCGGGAUUGCAUUUGAAACUGUCCGGCUGGAGUGCCGGAGAGGUAAGUGGAAUUCCUAGUCUAGCGGUGAAAUGCAUAGAUAUUAGGAGGAACACCAGUGGCGAAGGCGGCUUACUGGACUGUAACUGACACUGAGGCUCGAAAGCGUGGGGAGCAAACAGGAUUAGAUACCCUG
This 750-nucleotide ribosomal RNA is filed under the name uncultured bacterium. Its description in RNAcentral is "bacterial SSU rRNA". It matches the Rfam family "Bacterial small subunit ribosomal RNA", at positions 1 to 789 of the family's 1533-position model. The record is from RNAcentral.